CGUUCCCGGGCCUUGUACACACCGCCCGUCACACCACGAAAGUGGGCAACACCGAAGCCGGUGGCCUAACCCUUGUGGAGGGAGCCGUCGAAGGUGGGGCUCGCGAUUGGGGUG
RNAcentral lists this ribosomal RNA (114 nucleotides) under uncultured bacterium. RNAcentral's name for it is "partial 16S ribosomal RNA". It matches the Rfam family "Bacterial small subunit ribosomal RNA", at positions 1369 to 1482 of the family's 1533-position model. The record is from RNAcentral.